RNAcentral lists this ribosomal RNA (252 nucleotides) under uncultured bacterium. RNAcentral's name for it is "partial 16S ribosomal RNA". It matches the Rfam family "Bacterial small subunit ribosomal RNA", at positions 524 to 776 of the family's 1533-position model. The record is from RNAcentral.
GACAGAGGUGCCGAGCGUUAGGCGGAAUCACUGGGCUUAAAGCGUGUGUAGGCGGGCGGGCAAGUACCUUGUGAAAUCCCACGGCUCAACCGUGGAACUGCUGGGUAUACUGCCUGUCUUGAGCCAGCCAGGGGCAGUCGGAACAGACGGUGGAGCGGUGAAAUGCGUAGAUAUCGUCUGGAACGCCAAAGGUGAAAACAGACUGCUGGGGCUGUGCUGACGCUGAGACAGAAAGCCAGGGGAGCGAACGGG